UAUCACAUUUAGGCCUACAAUUUAAGUA
Molecule: small RNA, 28 nt
Filed under: Bombyx mori (domestic silkworm)
Lineage: Eukaryota; Metazoa; Arthropoda; Insecta; Lepidoptera; Bombycidae
Description: ovarian small RNA-23494
Source: RNAcentral